RNAcentral lists this long non-coding RNA (454 nucleotides) under Homo sapiens (human). RNAcentral's name for it is "HSALNT0375920". The record is from RNAcentral. Lineage: Eukaryota; Metazoa; Chordata; Mammalia; Primates; Hominidae.
GGGAGCUGUAGACCGGAGCUGUUCCUAUUCGGCCAUCUUGGCUCCUCCCCCACCCCCGUAUUAUCUUAAAAAUUAGAUUGUUUUCUGCUGGUUGCUUUCUGAAAUUCUACUGGACCUAAUGCCAAAAGAUGAUCAAGAGGAGCAUGAAAAAAUCCCCUGAAUCCAUUGGCUUUCUUCCCUAUACUGACAACAGUUUACUUGUGUAAGAGAUGCAUGCCUCGACUCCGGACCCCUUCUUUCAUCUGCAAAAUCAGCAGCACCCUCACAUCAUCUCCUGUAACAAACUCUCUCUGUCUCCUCCAUAUAAGGUCACUGAUGGUUACAUUUAGGGUCCAUGAUAUAAGAAGAUGGAUGUCUAUUGCUUUUCUCUUGAUAUUCAUGGCACUGCUCCUCUCCAUCCAUAGGAUUAUCUUAUAGAUGAGGGUCUCAUCCUUUUGCCCAGGCUGGAGUACAG